UGGCUAACUCCGUGCCAGCAGCCGCGGUAAUACGGAGAGGGCUAGCGUUAUUCGGAAUCAUUGGGCGUAAAGGGCGCGUAGGCGGGUUAGUAAGUUAAAAGUGAAAUCCCAAGGCUCAACCUUGGAAUUGCUUUUAAAACUGCUAAUCUAGAGAUUGAAAGAGGAUAGAGGAAUUCCUAGUGUAGAGGUGAAAUUCGUAAAUAUUAGGAGGAACACCAGUGGCGAAGGCGUCUAUCUGGUUCAAAUCUGACGCUGAGGCGCGAAGGCGUGGGGAGCAAACAGGAUUAGAUACCCUGGUAGUCCAC
This 305-nucleotide ribosomal RNA is filed under the name Wolbachia endosymbiont of Rhipicephalus haemaphysaloides. Its description in RNAcentral is "bacterial SSU rRNA". It matches the Rfam family "Bacterial small subunit ribosomal RNA", at positions 494 to 798 of the family's 1533-position model. Lineage: Bacteria; Pseudomonadati; Pseudomonadota; Alphaproteobacteria; Rickettsiales; Anaplasmataceae. The record is from RNAcentral.